Molecule: ribosomal RNA, 554 nt
Filed under: Equus caballus (horse)
Lineage: Eukaryota; Metazoa; Chordata; Mammalia; Perissodactyla; Equidae
Description: partial large subunit ribosomal RNA
Rfam family: Bacterial large subunit ribosomal RNA
Source: RNAcentral
CACCUCUAGCAUUUCCAGUAUUAGAGGCACUGCCUGCCCAGUGACAUCUGUUUAAAUGGCCGCGGUAUCCUAACCGUGCAAAGGUAGCAUAAUCACUUGUUCCCUAAAUAGGGACUUGUAUGAAUGGCCACACGAGGGUUUUACUGUCUCUUACUUCCAAUCAGUGAAAUUGACCUUCCCGUGAAGAGGCGGGAAUGAUUAGAUAAGACGAGAAGACCCUAUGGAGCUUUAAUUAACUGAUUCACAAAAAACAACACACAAACCUAACCUUCAGGGACAACAAAACUUUUGAUUGAAUCAGCAAUUUCGGUUGGGGUGACUUCGGAGAACAAAACAACCUCCGAGUGAUUUAAAUCCAGACUAACCAGUCAAAAUAUAUAAUCACUUAUUGAUCCAAACCAUUGAUCAACGGAACAAGUUACCCUAGGGAUAACAGCGCAAUCCUAUUCCAGAGUCUAUAUCGACAAUUAGGGUUUACGACCUCGAUGUUGGAUCAAGACAUCCUAAUGGUGCAACCGCUAUUAAGGGUUCGUUUGUUCAACGAUUAAAGUCUU